RNAcentral lists this ribosomal RNA (515 nucleotides) under uncultured soil bacterium. RNAcentral describes it as "bacterial SSU rRNA". It matches the Rfam family "Bacterial small subunit ribosomal RNA", at positions 26 to 527 of the family's 1533-position model. The record is from RNAcentral.
AGAUUGAACGCUGGCGGCAUGCUUUACACAUGCAAGUCGAACGGCAGCGCGGGGCAACCUGGCGGCGAGUGGCGAACGGGUGAGUAAUAUAUCGGAACGUACCCAAGAGUGGGGGAUAACGUAGCGAAAGUUACGCUAAUACCGCAUACGAUCUAAGGAUGAAAGCAGGGGACCGCAAGGCCUUGUGCUCCUGGAGCGGCCGAUAUCUGAUUAGCUAGUUGGUAGGGUAAAGGCCUACCAAGGCUACGAUCAGUAGCUGGUCUGAGAGGACGACCAGCCACACUGGAACUGAGACACGGUCCAGACUCCUACGGGAGGCAGCAGUGGGAAUUUUGGACAAUGGGCGCAAGCCUGAAUCCAGCAAUGCCGCGUGAGUGAAGAAGGCCUGGUUGUAAGCUACUUUGUUCAGGAAGAAACGGUAGGGGACGUAAGUAAUACCUCCAACUAAAUGUAACGGUACCUAGAAAGAAUAAGACACCGACUAACUACGUAGCCGACGACACGACGCGUUAACG